RNAcentral lists this ribosomal RNA (42 nucleotides) under Pratylenchus hippeastri. RNAcentral's name for it is "partial 18S ribosomal RNA". The record is from RNAcentral. Lineage: Eukaryota; Metazoa; Nematoda; Chromadorea; Rhabditida; Pratylenchidae.
UCCUCCGCUAAAUGAUAUGCUUAAGUUCAGCGGGUAGUCAUG